This 13783-nucleotide long non-coding RNA is filed under the name Gossypium barbadense (sea-island cotton). RNAcentral's name for it is "long non-coding RNA (GBAR_LNC004921)". The record is from RNAcentral. Lineage: Eukaryota; Viridiplantae; Streptophyta; Magnoliopsida; Malvales; Malvaceae.
CCCAAGUCAGCUCAAGCCUAUUGGGCCUAAGCCCAUUCAGGCAACAGUGGUACUGGGCCAGAGCCCUUUUCAGAUUACAAUAAACUGGGCCUUAGCCCCUUAUUCAGAUAACAGUAUGGCCCAUAGGCCCAUUUCAAAAUACAUGCAACAUCAGUAAACAUAUGCAAGCCCAUUUGGGGAGACUACUCAACCCACCAACCACUACACUCCACCCGUACCAGCCAUACACUCCAUGUGGGGAAUAGUUCAACCCACCCAGCCCAACACUCCACAGUUGCAGCCUUGCUGCUCAGUUAACAGUAAAUUGAGGCAAAGCCUCCAGUACGUGGACAAGCCACUUUCAGUACUUCCUCCGUCAAUAUCCCAGUCCCAUGCAUCAGAUAAUAACAACAUGGCAUGCAGUAAAUAACAACAGUCAAACAUGCAUUUAGGUCAAUUUAACCCUAGGGGUAUUUCGGUAAUUUAUCUCAUAGGGGUAAAACUGUAAAUUUUCCACUUUUAAAGGUAUUUCAGUAAUUUAUCUAUUUUAGGGUUUUUCAUGCAUAUUCCUACUUUUCACGUACUAACAGAAUAACGUUCCGAGGGUUUUUACCGAAUUGGGCACGUUGGCCCAUCAUUCCAAUUUUGGCCUAUUAAGCCCAAAAAUAUCGAGGGCACAGAAAUCAUGCAUUUUGUAGUCCAAACAUUGCAGCUUACCAAAAACAUUAAUCGAUUUACCUCACGAGCAUUCGCACAUUCGAAAAUCUACAAAAUACUGGUUUUCGGCAUUUCAGCUUUUCGACUUUUGCCGAUCUAGACUAAGAAAGAGGGUGUUAGUUACACACCUGUUUGCGACGAUAUGCUGACGAGAUCCACACACGAAUCGCCUACAAUUGGAUUACUAACACGUUAAUCUAACUAUUCAAAUACAAAUUACGUAUUAACCCCUUACAAUAUUCGGCCAACCACACCCACAGAUCAUAGUAAGCUUAUAAGAAAACAAUAAGCAACUCAUUAACAAAUUUUUGUCAAUGUUUACCAAAAAAUCAUAAUUUCACUGCAAGCUGUCUUCUUGAGCAACAGUCACUAAAUCAUUUAUAACUGGAGCUACGAAACUCCAAAUCAAGUUCUGUUAAUUUUCCUUGAAAAUAGACUCAUAUAUCUUCUAUCCAUAAAAUUUUCAGAAUUUUUGGUUUAGCCAAUCAAUACCAGAUUUUUCUCAAAGUUUCCCAUGUUUCACUGUUUGACUAAUCUGACCACUCUUUAUUAUGAAUCAAAUUUAUCAUUGUACAGAAUUCAAAAUAUGUUCUUGUUUAUUUCAUUAGAAACUAGACUCAAUAAUAUUUAAUUACAUAAUUUAUUCAGCUUCUAAUUCAUCUCCCACAAUUUAUGGUGAUUUUCCAAAGUCACGUUACUGCUGCUGUCCCAAGCAGAUUUAUUACCAAAUCACUCUUUCACAUAUACCUUGCAUGCAUGUUAUUUAAACAUGUAUAGCACCAAUCAAUCAUCACAUAUCUAUGAUUUUACUUAAGUAUAAUCUCCAUUUCAUCAUUUUAAAGCACAACAUGUUAGCCGAUUUUUCCCUUUAGCAUCUAAGGCACAUGCAUGCUCAUUUGUUUGGCUCAACUUCACCUAUCUUCCAUUUUUCAUCAAAAGAACAUGAAACAACAACCAUUUCCUUCAUUUUAAUUCAUGACUAAAUGCUCACAACACAACUAAAAACUAAAAUAUGCUUCAAGAGUUAAGGUAGAAUCAAGAAGAACUCAUGAACCUCAAAAUAGAAGCAAGGUACCAAGAACUUACCUUCAAUUUUCCUCCUCCUAAUGACCGAAUACUUAAGAGCUUUCUCCUCUCCUUUCUCUUCUCUAACUUUUAGCUAUGAUGAACAAAGAUGGACAAAACUUUGUUCUUUUCACCCCUUUUUCUUUUAAUAAAACUUCAUAUUUCAUCCAUUUAAUUCUUUAAUACAAAAGACAUGAAAUUCUUAUCAUGAAACAUUUACCUAACCUAUUAUCAUGAAACAUUUACCUAACCUAUUAUCAAUUUGUAUCAUUUUGUACCAUAAAUUAUGGAUAUCAAGUGCACAUUUUGUCUACAACAACAUGAUGGCUGGCCACUUCAUGUAAAAUGGGAGGUUUGUCAUGCAAAUCCUCCUAUUUUGCACUCCUAUUUAUUUGGCCACUUCAAUUUAGCCUAUAGCAUUUUCAAACAUUUUCACAUAGGUCCUAUUUCAUAAUUUCACUCCCUUUUUCUUAUGGAACAAAAAUUAACUAAAAUUACCGGGUUCUAUCUUAAGCUUGGGCCUUCUAGAGGCCCACUAACAUAAUUAAACCUAUGCCAACAUUCACAGGAUUCCCGAAAAUUGAGGCGUUACAAUGAAAAUAGAUCCUACCUUACGAAAAGUCAGUGGACAGUAAGCCUAAGACAAGGAAAGAAGUGAAGAUCAAAGCCUAGCUCACCACAAAGACAAAGCGAGACUUCAUUCCCAAUUCAAAGAUGUUUUCGCAUGAUUGAAUUAAGAUAUACCUGGGCUACUAAGACGUGAGGAUGCUGCAAGGUGUUUGAACAGCAUAUGCUAAUGGUUUUACAAUGGUCAGGCUAAUCAUGAGGUUCGGGUACUGCUGGUCCUCCAUGGAAGAGGAUUGCAUCAGUUAUACCAUAAAUGUUGGAUUGAGGAAGACAAGACUUAUGUGCCUCCUCUAUUUCUUCACAGUUUUUUUUACAUAUAUGUGGGGCAUGGAUUUUAAGGGAUUGAUCUCAUCAAAAGUUUCAGGCCAACACUGAUUCAUCAUUGUGGUCGUCGGUUACUUCACUAAGAAGGUGAAGGUAGCUUCAUAUGCCAAUAUUACAAGGUCGAUAGUUAUCAAAUUCAAAUUCAAAAAAACACACAUAAAAAAAGAAAAAAUAAAAAAAAUAAAAAAAGAGUAAAAAAUAACAAAAAUGAUAGUGGAAGAUAACCGAGACUUGUAAAGAUUGGCAUAAAGAAGUUACUAUUUACCCUCUAUCCUUAUCAAACGUCUGCCAGGACCUUAGCUGGGGCAACACAUUGCUCAUUGGUUUAUGGGAUAGAAUCAGUUUUGAAGAUGAGAUUCAUUUUCUCCGAGUCUUGUCAAAGCUGAAGUUAAAUAAAGCCUAAUUGAUCCAAUUCUGAUAUGAUCAGUCGAAUUUGAAGAAAGGAGGUUGAAAGCUAUCUGUCGUGGUCCAAUACACCAAAAACGAAUGAUGCGAGCGUACGACAGAAAGGUUCGUCCUAGAGAAUUCCAUGAGGGAGACCUAGUAUUGGAAAAGAUAUUUCCUAUACAAAAGGAACUUCAAAUGAAAGUAUACGCUAAACUGGAAAGGACCUUAUGUGGUAAAGAAGGCUUCUAGAAGAGCAUCGAUGCUGACUAAGGUAAUGGCAAUAACCUACCUAAUCUGGUGAAUUCGGAUUCAAUCAAAAAAUACUUCACCAAAAAAAACAAAAAAACAAAAAAGAAAAAAAGGAGAAAAGAAAAAAGGAAAAAGAAAGAAGAAGAAAAUGAGAGGCCAAUGUGAAAACCCGCAAAGGGCGCCUUGAGACCAAAGGGGAUUUGAGUUGAAAACCCAAAAAUGGCUGCUCAAAUUUGGAUCAAAGUGGGGCAUUCAGUAGUCUUGCUAUGCUUGAAUUAACAAUGAAUGAGUAUGCUACGUCUUGGGGCAUUAACAAAGUACUCCGGAUCCCCUAAACACAGAUUGAGCUCAAAAUAGUCUUCAAGAAGUGGGUGCAGAGAAGCUCAAGUUGCGAUAUCUGGGGCACCUAGUUUUCUAUUUUACCCAUUUUGAAUUUGCUAUCUUUGAUUACCCUAUACUUUUCAAGAUACGUCUCAAUAAAUUUCCUUAUUAUUACGUUUGCUAUCUUUUGAUUAACAUAUUUGUUUCGAGCUAUGCUCCCAAUUAUUUUCUCUCUUAUCCAUUGUUAUGAACUUUUUCAAGCAUUUUGCAUUGAAAUAAUGAUUAAUGGACUAAUAAUACCUUCACAAAAGGGGUUCUGCGUAUUACUCUAGAAGUUUCUAAAUGGUACAGGAACCUGAAACAGAAUUGUUGUUUAGAACUCACCAAGCCUAAGGGUUGGAAAUAUUGGAGAAAGAUGAUUAUCUCUUUGGACUUUUUAUUGGUUAAACAAAAAGACAAGAUGUUUCGUCGACGAUACAACCUCGACAAAUAAUGAGCAAUGUCAACCCAAGUGUAAAAGGGGAUCAUUCUCAGGAAAAGAAAAAUGAUACUCUACAUUCAUACAGAUAUUAGACAUAUAUAUCUAGUCAUUACACCCAGGGAAUGGUGUAACAAAUCAAUUGAUUGAAGAUGAUACAAAUCCUAUACCUCUGAGUUAUAGCAGGAUAGAUGAAGAAACCAAAUGUUACUCCCCUGAAGUUGUAGUGGGAGGUACAAACUCUAUGUCCCAGAAGAUACAACGGAAAAGACUCUGAAAUUUUAGUGGGGCAAACCUAUUGAGCAAGAUAUAAUUAUUUCUUCGGGUUCUGUCAAAAAUGCUAGCCAAACAAGAGGGAAGCAUAAUACGUCAGUGAUAAAGCCUUAAUAAACUAUGAGUGAUGAUGCCUUAAGCACUCAACAAGGAAUCAUUCUCAUGACAUUUCUGCAUUCACAAGCAUCACAUCUAGUUAGGAGCAUUUGAUUCAUUUCGAUCAUAGCAUCCUAGUUAUUUGACAUAAGCAUAGAUACAUGAAACCGAUUCUACAGAUCAUGUCCCUAGAGGAUGGUGUAGCAACAUCGGUAAAUUCAUAGAUCUUGUCUCCCUGAAGCAGUAGUGGAGCAGAUCGAAGACGGUGAGCCUUAACCCUCUAAGCAGUAGGGUAACACGACGAAUUACAGAUCUUGUCUCCCUAAGCAGUAGUAGAGCAGAUCGAAGGCGGUGAGCCUUAACCCCCUAAGGAGUAGGGUAAUAGGCUAAAUUACAGAUCUUGUCUCCCUAAGCAGUAGUGGAGUAGAUCGAAGACAGUGAGCUUUAACCCCCUAAGCAGUAGGGUAACAGGCUAAAAAUUAUAGAUCUUGUCUCCCUAAGCAAUAACGGAGCAAAUCAAAGAUGAUGAGCCUUAACCCCUAAGCAGUAGGGUAACAGGCUGAAAAUUACAGAUCUUGUCUCCCUAAGUAGUAGUGGAGCAGAUCGAAGACGAAAGGCCUUAACCCCCUAAGCAGUAGGGCAACAGGCUGAAAAUUAUAGAUCUUGUCUCCCUAAGCAGUAGUGGAGCAGAUCGAAGAAGAAGGGCCUUAACCCCCUAAGCAGUAGGGCAACAGGCUGAAAAUUAUAGAUCUUGUCUCCCUAAGAAGUAGUGGAGCAGAUCGAAGAUGAAGGGCCUUAACCCCCUAAACAGUAGGGUAACAGGCUGAAAAUUAUAGAUCUUGUCUCCCUAACUAGUAGUGGAGCAGAUCGAAGACGAUGAGCCUUAACGCCCUAAGCAAUAGGGUAACAGGCUGAAGAUUGCAGAUCUUAUAACCCUAAGCAGUAGGGGAACAGAUCGAAUACGAUGAGCCUUAACCCCCUAAGAAGUAGGUAACAGGCUGGAAAUUCACAGAUUUUAUCUCCCUGAAGUUACAGCGGAGCAGAUUGAAGAUAGCGAAUCUUAUUCCCCUGAAGUUGAAGUGAAACAGAUUGAAGCUAUGAAUAAACAGAUUUUAUCUCUCUGAAGUUGCAGUAGAGCAGAUCAAAACAAACUUUAUCACCCCAAAGUUGUAGUGGAGCGGAUUAAAGCAAUAAGAUGCAGUGGACUGAACGAGGCUACCUAAAGAAGAAAAGCACCAGAGAAGUCGAGACUCGACAAGACCGGGCAAAAUUGGCCCUUUUUUAUGUUAUUGCUCUAUUCUCAUUACACGACAACGAGCAAAGAGGGGCAGCUGUAGAAGGCCCAAAUUGCCCGGGCCCAUUUUACAUCCUCAAAACCUAACCAAUUAAACCCAUUUACAACUAAACACAAACCUAAAUCAACAACCCUAGCGCAACCCAAAAACAAAACAAAACAAAAAAAACCCUAAAUUAACCUAGCUAGCCGCAGCCCUAGGUCUUCGGCACAACUGCCCUCUGACCCACCUGCCCCACCACCAUUGUCGCAUCAGCACCGCCACUGUGUAGUCGCCCACUUGCACCUGCAAAACUAGAGAAGAAAUGACAGCAAGAAUUAAAGGUAGAAAUGAAAAUCAAAUAGAAAAAUACUUUGUAAAUGGCUAUAUAAGCCUUGCAAUAUUUUGUAUUUUGUCUCUCUGGACACUUUUGAAUACAAAAAAAAACAGAUUCAAAUACAUCAAAUACCAAAAGAAACAGCAAGCAGUGGAAAAAAAACGUGCUAAGGUCUUUAUUUUCUUUUUUUAGUUUAUUUCUUUUUAUUUUCGUCCUUUGAAUAUAUAAAAGUACAUAUUUUCUUUAUUUUUUUAAAAAAUAGCAUAUAUAUAGAUAUAUAUAAAAAUAUAAAAUAAAAAUAAAACAUACUUUUUAUUUUUCAGCCACCGUGUGCGGUGGCCAGCGACGGCGGCUGGCGCAGCGACGACUAGUCGAAACCCUCGCCAGAGUAGGGGCCUCUGUAGAGAAAAAAAGGAGAAAGAAGAAUUUAAAAAAAACAGAGAAAGAAUGAAGUUUUUUUAAAAAAAUCUGAUUUAUAUAGGCCACCAAAACGACGUCGUUUUGGGACUGGCCUUAAACGCCCAAAACGAGGUCAUUUUGAUAUGACCCGCGCGCCGACGUUUUUUAUAAAAGGGCUAUUUGUGCAUUUGGUCCUUCUGCUUUUUUAUAGUUUUAUAAUUAAAUCUUUCGUUAUUUUUAAUUUUGCCCAGAAAUUUUGUUUUUAUUUCAUUUUGGUCCUGCGCAAAACGCUGCACUUAGAGGGACAGGGAUAUUUACUUUUUAAGUCCCUUCAUGUUGUGCGCGUGUUGCAAUUUGAUCCUCCCCCUUUCUUUUUAUUUUGGAUUUGCCCUAAACUUCCUGUUUUGAAUUCAAUUUAAUCUUUUUUUUAAUUAUUUGGUUACUUUACUAAAAAAUUAGUUAUUUUUAUUAUUUUUACUAUUAUUAUUAUAAAUAUAUUAUUGUUGUUAUUGUUAUUAUUGUUAUUAUUUACAUGUUAUUAUUUAUUUUUCUUUUAUUAUGGUAUUAUUAUUGCCAUUAUUAUUAUUUUUAUUAUUUUUAUUAUCAUCUUAUUUUAUUGUCAUUUUUGUACUAUUGUUAUUAUUUUUUUAUUUUUUUACUAUGAUUAUUAUUAGUAUUAUUAUUAUCUAUUAUCAAUAUUAUUAUUACUAUUUUUUUACUAUUAUUAUUUCACAUACUAUUAUUACUAUUUUAUUAUUAUUAUUAUCACUUCUUCUUUUGUUUCAUUCAAUAUUUUUUUUCUCCUUUAUUGUUUUUGCCUAUUUCAUUUCUUAUUUUUAUUUAUUUUAUUUAUUUAUUUAUUUAAACUUUUUAAUAGUUUUAUUUAUUUAUUUAUUAACUUAUGGUUUUUAGUUAGCCUUUUUUUUAUUUUUUUAUUUAUGUAUCUUAUUUUUUAUUCUUGCCCAUAUUACUGUUAUUUGUACUAUCGCAUCUGUUAUUUUUACGUAUCAAAGUCGCGUAUUCUUUCAUGGACUAUCAGCCUUCUCUUGUUGUUUACUCGGAUCCUAUUCGAACAACUGUAUUAUAAUCCAUUUUAUCAAGAAAUCCUUUUUCCAUGACAAGCUAUUCUAUUUAGCAAUCAAAUGUGAAUCAACUCCUCCUUUCUAUGAUGAAAAUGCAAUGCAAUCAAAACAAGAGAAAGCAUGUUAGCACAGGAGAAAUAAACAAAAUAGAGUACCAAUCCGGGUGACCACUAGGGGUUCGGAGUGGCUCUACCUAGGGUGGGCUCUUAAGGCUUGCUAUAUGGGGCUCGGUUCUAAAGUAAAGGUACCUGAACCAGCAGAUUCCUCGAUCUUCACCUAUUAUAGGCUCAUAUAGACCGAGUUCAGUUCAGGGGAAUACAUUUCCCUAUGGCUGCACGAAAAUGAAAGUCUCAUGAAGACAUAGGUACAGGUGUCCCGAAAGCGAACCACUAUCCUGCACGGAGGUGAAGACCUCACGAAGGAAUAGUUUCUCACUCCCACUUAAAAGGGUUUAACCGUACGGUCAUGCAAUACAAUAUGCAGGAAUAUACAAAAAAUCUCGAAGCAAAUGAAGAAAACAUGAAUAAAAUGAUGAAGAUCGUAACACAAAAUAGAUGAAAUGCAAUGAAAGGAUCGUAUAUCAAAACCAAAUUUUAAUUUUCGACAAAAAGACAAAAGUUAAUCAACUUGCGGCUUGACUCUCUUUUUUAGUCCCCGGUGGAAUCGCCAAGCUGUCGAAACCAUUUUUUUGAAAAACGGGGUCAACUUUGGUUUUGAAAAUGAAAACAAACAAUGGGAGUCACCACCAAUCCUUUUUGAUGAGGUGUGAUCGGGUCACCUUAAAUUAAUCAUUUUAAUAAAAGUUAAUAUUUACUAAAACAAUAAUUUUUUGGUCUACGAGAAUCAGAAAAUGAGUUCGGGAGUCAAUUAUGUACGAGGAAGGAUUAGCACCUUCGUGACGCCCAAAAAUUGGUACCUAGUUGAUUAAUUAGUGUCUUAGUGUCGAAACGUUGAAAACUUGAAAGACUUUAAAAUACGAUCCCUCUUUUUGUAGAAACACUUGAAUGUUAAAGACCUUCUCGUCUUGAAAUAAUAAAAUGUCACAUCCAGUAAGUUAGGGCACAACAUCUUGAAUUUUCGAGAAUGAGCAUGCCUUUUAUUUAAAAUUUGUAUAUUUUAACCUAUUAAAAAGUAAUUCAAUUAUUUAGAGUAAACGAGAAAAAUCGAAACCCAGUAAGUUAGGGCACGAUAUCUUGAAUUUCUGAAUACCGAAUAUUGCCUUUGUUUGCAAAAAUCUUAUCUCGAGGUAUCAAGAUAUCAUAUCCAGUGAGUUAGGACACAACAUCUCGUAUCUCCGAGACUAAGCAUUUUAUUCAAAACUAGUGUUGCGAUUUUAAAAGAAUAUUCCAUUAUUUAGAUUAAAUAAGAAAAAUCGAAACCCAGUAAGUUAGGGCACGAUUUUCUCGAAUUUCUAAAUAUGAAAUAUUGCUUUUAUGAAAGAAUUGUUUUAAUGUAUCGAGGAAAAAAUAUGACGUGAUUUAUAGUGAAAUAUAAAAGCAAAUUACGGUACUAAUACGUAAAAAUUACAGAUGCGAUAGUACAAAUAAUAGUAAUAUGGGCAAGAAUAAAAAAUAAGAUACAUAAAUAAAAAAUAAAUAAAAGGCUAACUAAAAACCAUAAGUAAAUAAAUAAAUAAAACUAUUAAAAAGUUUAAAAAAUAAAUAAAUAAAAAAUAAAAUAAAAAUAAGAAAUGAAAUAGGAAAAAACAAUAAAGAAGAAAAAAAAUAUUGAAUGAAACGAAAGAAAAAGUGAUAAUAAUAAAAACAAAAAUAGUAAUAAUAGUAUGUGAAAUAAUAAUAGUAAAAAAAAUAAUAGUAAUAAUAAUAUUGAUAAUAGAUAAUAAUAAUACUAAUAAUAAUAGUAGUAAAAAAUAAAAAGAUAUAGAAAACAAUAAUAAUAGUACAAAAAUGACAAUAAAAUAAGAUGAUAAUAAAAAUAAAAAUAAAAAUAAAAAUAAAAAUAAAAAUAAAAAUAAAAAUAAAAAUAGUAAUAAUGGCAAUAAUAAUAAUACCAUAAUAAAAGAAAAAGAAAUAAUAACAUGUAAAUAAUAAUAACAAUAAUAACAAUAAUAUAUUUAUAAUAAUAAUAGUAAAAAUAAUAAAAAUAACUAAUUUUUUAGUAAAGUAACCAAAUAAUUAAAAAAAAGAUUAAAUUGAAUUCAAAACAGGAAGUUUAGCGCAAAUCCAAAAUAAAAAGAAAGGGGAGGAUUAAAUUGCAACACACGCACAAUGUGAAGGGACGAAAAAAGUAAAUAUCCCCGUCCCUCUAAGUGCAGCGUUUUGCGCGGGACCAAAAUGAAAUAAAAACAAAAUUUCUGGGAAAAAUUAAAAAUAACGAAAGAUUUAAUUAUAAAAUUAUAAAAAAGCAGAAGGACCAAAUGCACAAAUAGCCCCUUUAUCAAAAACACGCGGAUCCCCUGAGACGGGUCGGGUCAGCGCACAGGUCAUAUCAAAACGACAUCGUUUUGGGCAUUUAAGGCCAGUCCCAAAACGACGUCAUUUUGGUGGCCUAUAUAAAUCAGAUUUUUUUUAAAAACUUCAUUCUUUCUUUGUUUUUUUUAAAUUCUUCUUUCUCCUUUUUUUCUCUGCAGAGGCCCAUACUCCGGCGAGGGUUCCGACCAGUCGCCGCCGCAUCGGCCACCGCGCAUGGUGGCUUAAAAAUAAAAAAGUAUGUUUUUUUAUUUUUCUUUUAUAUUUUAUAUAUAUCUAUAUAUAUAUAUAUAUGCUGUUUUUUAAAAAAAAUAAAGAAAUAUGUACUUUUAUAUAUUCGAAGGAGGAAAAUAAAAAGAAAUAAACUAAAAAAAGAAAAUAAAGACUUUGUUUCCACUGCUUGCUGUUUCUUUUGGUAUUUGAUGUAUUUGAAUCUGUUUCUUUUGUAUUCAAAAGUGUCCAGAGAGACAAAAUACAAAAUAUUGCAAGGCUUAUAUAACCAUUUACAAAGUAUUUUUCUAUUUGAUUGUCAUUUCUGCCUUUAAUUCUUGCUGUCAUUUCUUCUCCUAUUUUGCAAGUGCAAGUGGGCGACUACACAGUGGCAGUGCUGAUGCGACAAUGGCGGUGAGGCAGGCGGGUCAGAGGGCAGUUGGCCGAAGACCUAGGGCGACUGCUAGCUAGGUUAAUUUAGGUUUUUUUUUUGUUUUGUUUUAGGGUUGGGCUAGGGUUGUUGAUUUAGGUUUGGGUUUAGUUGUAAAUGGGUUUAAUUGGUUGGGUUUUGAGGAUGUAAAAUGGGCCCAAGUAGUUUGGGCCUUCUACACUAGGAGUCUCAAAAUUUGUUGUCAGCACCUUUAAUUUUGAUUGCUUCACAGUGUUUGCACCUUCAUGGGCAAUAUCCAGAAUAUCUCAUGCCUUUUUUGAUAUAAUGUGCUUGAAUGUUUUCUUGUACUCUUGAUCAUUAACUUUACCAAAAAAAAUGACAUACAAAGCUUUAGAGUUUGCAUUGACCAACUUUUUCUCCUUAAUUGUUCAAGUGAGCUCAGAUUUAGGAGUGAUGAAGGAGCUUCCUAUCUAAUGAGGAUUGCAUGCCAAUCCUUUUCAUCCAUAGGUUUUAUAAAGACUUUCAUAGUAACUUUUCUGUAUGCAUAGUUGGAACCACCAGCAUAAGUGGAUUGAGACAAAUGAUCCUUCCAUUGCAAGCAAGAAUCAACACUAGGAACACCACUUAAUAUAAGUGUUAAGCUUCGAUACCAAAUUGAAGAAAACAAUCAAUUUUUGCAAGAAAAAAUUGAACAGUUAUAUGGAGUAGUUAUAACUGUUAGGUGUCACAAUUAAAGAAUAUAACAUAUAAACAAUUGAUUACACAAUUCAGUAAUCGCCUACAUUUGUGAGGCUUUAUCCAUAGAGGCAAUGCAUUAUAUUUAUUCUUGUUUAAAUAAUUAUUUAAGUCCUAUCACUUUUGUACCUAAAAUAUAGAUCUCUUUAUUAAAUUCUCUUCUACUUAGUUUGUAAAACCAAGUGACUCACUUGUUUUACUUACAAAAGUACAUUCACUAAAUCAAUUCCAAUUGAAUAGAUUAAAUGUUAAGCUCUUAGUACUAACCUAUGAAGUCUCAAGUAUAUAAACAUUUUUUUUACUUGCUAGGAUACAAAUUACUUGCAAUCAUAACUCCUUCCAAAGUAGCCCUUAAAUAAGAUUUAACAAUUUCCUGGUAAAGCCUAGGAUAAAUAAACAAUUUCUAAGAUAUGUCUUCAAGUCAUUCCAACUAAUCUCCAUGAAAUAGAAGAUUCGAUUUGCUUGAUUUAAAUCGAUCCAAUUUUAAAGAUUUGUUGUUUCAUAAGAUCAAUCUUCAAAUAUGGACCAAUACAUGUCCAUAAUAUCAACUAAUUCAUGGCCCAACUAUAUUGUUUCAAAAAAUUGCUGACUUCAAAUUCGACAAAUUAUGAAACAUUGAGCAAUUAUCGACAUCGUUGUAAUUGCUUUGUGUCGUUGCUCUUAUAAGUGACUUAACAAAUUUAAAACCUUUCCUUUAAAUGUAAUUUCAAUUGGAGUCUUUAGUGGGAUCUAUAGGAUACCAAACUAACAAAUUUAAUUUUUUUAGGCAUAAACUUCUAUUGCAUUUUAUUAUAGUUCAUUAAACUAGGGUGAGUAUUCGGUCGAGUUGAGUCGAAUAAAGUCAAAAAAUUUUGAAUUAGUCGAGUUGACGAAUCCUAUUUUAGCAACUAAACUCAAUUUGAAAAUUUUUCGAAUAAAAACAAAUCAAGUAAAAAAAUUUUGAGUCAAGUUGAGUCGAGUUAACGAAUCCUGUUAUUUAUACUCAAUCUUGCAUUUACAUGGACCGAUUAUUUAACUAGUAGACUAAGUACAAGAUUAUUUAACUACAUAAACAAUAUAAUGGUUUCACCUUUUAACUUAAUAGGUAAACAUUUAUCAAAACGAAAUAGUUUUGCCUUUUAAUUUAAUGGUUUUGAUUUUUAACUUUAGAAAAGAAAAACAUUUAUCAAAUCGACAUAGUUUCGCAUUUUCUUAUUCGGAAUUCUGAAGAACUCGAUUUGUGUAAAUCAUAUUCGAGUUAAACCAAAAAUUUUGAUUUUUUAUUCUAUUUUAUCCGAAUAACUCGAAUAAUUCGAACCAUUUAACUCAAAAUUUAAAAAUUUUAUCUAGUUUUUCGAAUCGAAUCGAAUUUUGCUCCCUCCUACAUUCAACCAUUGCAUUCCAAUAUUGAAAAGUUAGAUUUAUUCGUGGGCCAAGUUUAAAUAAAAUAUAACUUGUUAUUUGCCUAAACUUGAGUUUACUCAAAUCGUAACAUUACUAUUCUACCCAAAUUUAACUUAAAUAAGUUUAAAAGAUGUAAUAGGCCAAUUUUGGCCUGGGCCCAAGACCCAAAUAUAAAACCAAAAAGAAAAAACAAAAUAGUCCAUUUUACAAAACAAACAGCAAGACUAUUUUCCAUAUUGAAUGGCCCAAACCUAAACCCAAAUUACCCAAACAAUAAAAAACCCUAAAGCCCAAGUCAGCCCAAACACCUAAACAAAACAGCAAACCCUAGCACCCUAGGCCUCCCCUUUGACCAGAACCGUACGUCAGCAGGCCACCUCGCGUGCCGCCCCUCCACGCACGCCUGCGCGUCUAACACCUGCAACAAUUGAAUGCAACAACAGAAAACAACACAGAAGAAACAAGCAGAAAGAAACAAAAAAUAGAAACCAAGAGUUGUUUAAAUCGGCCAUAAAAGCCCGAACUUCUUCUUUACAAUUUUUUUACACGCAUUAGAGAAUAAAAAAGAAAACAAAAUUACAAAGAGGUGAUAUAUUUUUAUCUGUAACUGUUUUGCUUUUUUUUGUUAUUUUUUAUUUUUUGUUUGUAAAUGAAACUAAACAUAAAGUAAAAAUUUUAAAAAUCUUCCUUACCUCUUCGGGAUCUCACCGUCUUGGAUGAAGGAGGGUGUCAUCCCCGAUGAUGGACGGUUUAAAUUCGGCGAGGCAACCGAGAAACAAAAGGGUUUCCUUUGGAUUUUACCAUUUGUGGUCAAGUUUUGACGAAAACCAACCUCAAAUCAGGCUUAGGUAGAUUAAAACGGCCCUAAGGGCCUUUUUUUGGAAUCCAACCGCCGUAUACGGUGGUCACCAUCGCUGGCGGCCAUGGCGGAUGAACGAGGCCCGAUAGGCAGGAUGUGGGGGGGAGUUUUGAGUGGAUGAGAGACUUAGAGUUUUUUAUUAGAUUUUUUUUGGGUGUGAGGGCUGGA